This 71-nucleotide transfer RNA is filed under the name Ixodes scapularis (black-legged tick). RNAcentral's name for it is "tRNA-Gln". Lineage: Eukaryota; Metazoa; Arthropoda; Arachnida; Ixodida; Ixodidae. The record is from RNAcentral.
UAGUUUUAGGUGUAAAUUUUGCACGUUAAAUUUUGAAUUUAAAAGAAAUAAAUUAAUUUUAUUAAAACUAA